Molecule: RNA transcript, 2258 nt
Organism: Mercenaria mercenaria
Lineage: Eukaryota; Metazoa; Mollusca; Bivalvia; Venerida; Veneridae
Gene name: baculoviral IAP repeat-containing protein 7-like
Exons: 5
Source: RefSeq, a predicted model, not a curated record
GACAAACUAUAUUUAUCUCAACAAAUGUAGUAGCUAUGUUGGAUAUUAAACCAUCUGCCACAAAAUACAAAUACUUACCUGUUCUGUCACAGCUAUUGUGGCGAUACACUUUAUGUUGAAACGGCCGAGUGGUAAAGGUCACUGACUUCAAAUCACUUGCCCCUUACCGAUGUGGGUUGGAGCCUUACUCGGGGCGUUGACUUUUCAUGUGAGGAAGCCAUCCAACUGGCUCACGGAAGGUUGUAUGUUCUACCCAGAUGCCCGCUCGUGAUGAAAUAAUGCACAAAGGGGCACCUUCUACCAUCAAAGCUGGAAAGUCACCAUAUGACCUAUAAUUGUGUCGGUGCGUGGUUAAACUCAACAAAAACAAACAAAACACUUUAUGUUGAUAAAACCAUAUAUUUUGCUUUAUUAGCUGUUGUAAACAUACAAAAAUAUUUCUAACCUCGUAAAUGAGGUGUAUCUAUACUAUCUGGCGAAUAAAUUUCAAAAAUAGAUUUAAUAUUUUUAUAAACGCACUUAGUUUUUCACCUUCUAUUUUUGGAAAAUGGGCUUUGCGUUGCCAACCUAAAAAUUGAAACGUAUUUCAUGUGAUCAUUUCCUUUGAUAUUUCAUUUGAUUAUAAUGAAUACAUUUUAUGGCAUUUUGUAAAUAAAGCUAACAAGCAAAUACACCAAGCCUAAACUGAACUAGGAAGAAUGUUAGGGUUCACACUUGCUUUGUCCUCUAAUCUAUACUUAUUGACAACACGGGCCAAUUAAAUGUCAGUUACAAAUAGGUCAAGACUGACAUUUGGUAUGUUGCCAAAACCAAUCAAUAAAUUUGGUAUAUCAAACUAUAGAUAAAUAUUUGUGUAAAUUCAUAUUUGAUUCUACCAUAUAUGUUUUCACGAGGAAAAUGUCUGACACUCUCGCAGAUGUUAAAAUAUCCAAGCAGCAUACAACAAGACCGCCACCUAUUGCACUGGGUAUAAAUGUGGAAAAACCAAAAUUUCCUCAAUAUGCUGUCUAUUCCAAACGGCUGGAGUCUUUUGAGUUGUGGCCAGAAUACCUGCUAGUACAGAAGAAAGAUAUGGUAGAAGCAGGUCUGGUAUUUACAGGCGUUGGUGACAGUGUAAGGUGCUAUUUCUGCGGCGGGGGUUUAAGGAACUGGGAACGUGGCGAUGUACCCAUGGAGGAGCAUGCAAAGUGGUAUCCGAAGUGCCCUCAUAUUUUGCUAGUUAAGGGACAGGCAUACAUUGAGAGACUUGCACGUGGAGAAAGACCUGGAACAGACGGAGAAGAUGGAAUAACCAGUAAUUAAACAGGAAACAGUGAUUUCAAAGGCAAAGAUUUGUGUGAAAUCCUUUUUGAUAUAGACGAGAAUCCCGAUGAACUAGAUGAAAAUGAAGUCAAUAAAUGUAUUGAAGAAACCAACGAGAUAGCUAAAGAAGACGAGCAAUUAGAGCCACUCGAAACUCUUCUUGAAGAAAACAACAGGUUAAAGGAGAACCAAAAGUGUAAAAUAUGUUUGGACAGCCGAGCUGAUGUGAUAUUUCUGCCAUGUGAUCACAUGGUCAGCUGUCCGCAGUGCGCCCCAGCGCUUAUUAAAUGCCCCGUUUGCAGACAAACUGUCAAUGGACAGCUGAAAGCAUUCUUUUCCGUAACUAAUAUAAAUGUUUAAUGAUAAUGGGUACACUUUUUACAAACAUUUCACAUUUUAAUGUAUAUAAGAACAUUCAUCCACUCCUCAAGCACUUCUGAGCUGUGAGUGUUUGAAAGUGUACCCAUUUAUGUGAUGUAAAGGAAUACCGCAAUUAUAUAUUGUAGUCAAUUGUUUGCAAAGUAAGUGAUGAUCAUUUAGUUCGUUUUGUCACUAUGUGUUUUCUUAGAUAUUUAUUUUUGUUUUUUUAGUGAUUUUCACAUAAACAAUGAACAAAUAAGUAAUGAAUUGUAAUAAAUAUUGUUGGUUGUGUUUGCUGUCUUUUAAAAACUUUUUAUGUUAUAUAUGGUAAAAUAGCCAUUAAAAUGGCCCUCAACUAAAUUAUAUCUCUUAACAAAGCACUGUAAUUUCCCUAUAUUUUACAUUUUAACCUGUACAAUGUUGGAAUAUCAAAAAGAAAUAUCUCAAUUAACUGGUAUAAGGAAUAAAAAGUAGUCAAUACUGAUCUUUUUGUGGCUGUAUAUCAAAUGGUGUAAAGGUAAUUUUAAAUAUACAAUGUGCCUUACAUGAAUGCUGUUUGGAGCGGAUCACAUUAAACUCUUAUUAUUCAUUUUCUA